UUUUAUGAGAGUUUGAUCCUGGCUCAGGAUGAACGCUGGCGGCGUGCCUAACACAUGCAAGUCGAGCCGUGCCUAACACAUGCAAGUCGAGC
RNAcentral lists this ribosomal RNA (92 nucleotides) under Terrisporobacter glycolicus. RNAcentral describes it as "partial 16S ribosomal RNA". It matches the Rfam family "Bacterial small subunit ribosomal RNA", at positions 1 to 96 of the family's 1533-position model. Lineage: Bacteria; Bacillati; Bacillota; Clostridia; Peptostreptococcales; Peptostreptococcaceae. The record is from RNAcentral.